RNAcentral lists this ribosomal RNA (631 nucleotides) under uncultured crenarchaeote. Its description in RNAcentral is "bacterial SSU rRNA". It matches the Rfam family "Archaeal small subunit ribosomal RNA", at positions 174 to 787 of the family's 1478-position model. The record is from RNAcentral. Lineage: Archaea; Thermoproteati; Thermoproteota.
AAUGAGUCUUUACCCAAAAGACGUUUAGAUCAUGCUUCUGGGCGUCGCCCAAGGAUGGGGCUGCGACCGAUCAGGUAGUUUGGUGAGGCAAUGGCUCACCAAGCCUUUAACCGGUGCGGGCCGUGGGAGCGGGAGCCCGGAGAUGGGCACUGAGACAAGGGCCCAGGCCCUACGGGGCGCAGCAGUCGCGAAAACUUUGCAAUAAGCGAAAGCUUGACAGGGCUAUCCCGAGUGCCAUCCGCUGAGGAAGGCUUUUACCCAGUCUAGUAAGCUGGGGGAAUAAGGAGAGGGCAAGUCUGGUGUCAGCCGCCGCAGUAAUACCAGCUCUCCGAGUGGUGUGGAUGUUUAUUGGGCCUAAAGCAUCCGUAGCUGGCUGAGUUAGUCCCCUGUUAAAUCCACCGAAUCAAUCGUUGGAUUGCGGGGGAUACUGCUCGGCUAGGGGACGGGAGAGGCAGACGGUAUUUCCGGGGUAAGGGUGAAAUCUUAUAAUCCCGGGAAGACCACCAGUGGCGAAGGCUGUCUGCUAGAACGCGCCCGACGGUGAGGGAUGAAAGCUGGGGUAGCGAACCGGAUUAGAUACCCGGGUAGUCCCAGCCGUAAACGAUGCAGGCUAGGUGUUUGGGCGGCCACG